GUUUAAAUAAUUUAAAUAAAAUAUUAAUUUUGUAAAUUAAAAAUAAGGAAACUUUUUAAGCA
RNAcentral lists this transfer RNA (62 nucleotides) under Tenebrionoidea sp. 24 KM-2017. RNAcentral describes it as "tRNA-Thr". Lineage: Eukaryota; Metazoa; Arthropoda; Insecta; Coleoptera. The record is from RNAcentral.